UGGGGAAUAUUGCACAAUGGGCGGAAGCCUGAUGCAGCGACGCCGCGUGAGGGAUGACGGCCUUCGGGUUGUAAACCUCUUUCAGUAGGGACGAAGCGUAAGUGACGGUACCUGCAGAAGAAGCACCGGCUAACUACGUGCCAGCAGCCGCAGUAAUACGUAGGGUGCGAGCGUUGUCCGGAAUUACUGGGCGUAAAGAGCUCGUAGGCGGUUUGUCACGUCGUCUGUGAAAUCCUAGGGCUUAACCCUGGACGUGCAGGCGAUACGGGCUGACUUGAGUACUACAGGGGAGACUGGAAUUUCUGGUGUAGCGGUGGAAUGCACAGAUAUCAGGAAGAACACCGAUGGCGAAGGCAGGUCUCUGGGUAGUAACUGACGCUGAGGAGCGAAAGCAUGGGUAGCGAACAGG
This 409-nucleotide ribosomal RNA is filed under the name Verrucomicrobiota bacterium. RNAcentral describes it as "Verrucomicrobia bacterium partial 16S ribosomal RNA". It matches the Rfam family "Bacterial small subunit ribosomal RNA", at positions 355 to 776 of the family's 1533-position model. The record is from RNAcentral. Lineage: Bacteria; Pseudomonadati; Verrucomicrobiota.